GAUGAACGCUGACAGAAUGCUUAACACAUGCAAGUCAACUUGAACUUCGGUUUGGGUGGCGGACGGGUGAGUCACGCGUAAAGAACUUGCCUCACAGUUAGGGACAACAUUUGGAAACGAAUGCUAAUACCUGAUAUUAUGAUUUUAGGGCAUCCUAGAAUUAUGAAAGCUAUAUGCGCUGUGAGAGAGCUUUGCGUCCCAUUAGCUAGUUGGAGAGGUAACGGCUCACCAAGGCGAGGAUGGGUAGCCGGCCUGAGAGGGUGAACGGCCACAAGGGGACGGUGAGACGACCACGAUUCCAAAGGGGGACGAGGAGGGGGGAGAUAUAGGAAGGGGCAGAAGAAUGAGGAAGGAACACUGAGUGGGGGAGGAUGAUGUUUUGGAAAAAAAAGGGGUUUAUGAGUGGAGAAAAAAGAGGUGAAGGGACCUGGAGAAGAAGGGCCGGAAAACUACGGC
Molecule: ribosomal RNA, 456 nt
Filed under: uncultured bacterium
Lineage: Bacteria
Description: partial 16S ribosomal RNA
Rfam family: Bacterial small subunit ribosomal RNA (bases 20-320)
Source: RNAcentral